Molecule: long non-coding RNA, 2326 nt
Filed under: Homo sapiens (human)
Lineage: Eukaryota; Metazoa; Chordata; Mammalia; Primates; Hominidae
Description: DDIT4 antisense RNA 1 (DDIT4-AS1)
Source: RNAcentral
GCCACGCCCCCUUUCUGGAAAGGAUCCGCGGCGGCUGCAGCUGCCAAGGUCCCCGAGGGCGCUCGCGGCAGGGGAGGAUCAAGGAAAGACUUGUUUAUUAUAGGGUUGCAUUGCUGGAGGAGGGGACAGCCCGUGACCAGGCUAGGAGGAGAGGCAGGGAAGCGUGAGGGGGCGGCGGGCAAGGAAAAUGGUUGCCCCCAGCGUCUUGGAUCCUAAAGCUUCGGGAACAACUGGGCACACACGGGGGGGAUGCCCGUGGGACGGCGGCGCAGGAGCAGACGUUAGCCCGGCCUGCCCUCGCGCCCUUACCCCCUCUAUCCCUGCUUUGCAAAGGCUCGGGAUAUGGGGGUGGGGUCCACAGACUGGGAAGCUCCGGGCACCAUGCUGCCCCUUCCCCAAGGCCCCACCUGCCCAUCCUGGCUGUUACUCUACAGCCCAGGACAUAGGUUAAUGGGGAUCCCUGCCUCCUCCCAAACCCUAUCUGCUUCCACUUCCAACUGCUCCCAAGGAGAGGGCUUGAGGAGAGUGGUUAGAGGAGUGUGGAUGGGCCCGGGUUCAUAGCGCCCAGUGCAGGGAUGGAAGCGAGGAUUCACAGCAGUCGGACUCACAGACCCAUCCGCCCUCCCCGCGGACUGCAGGCAGCGCAGCCGGACCUCCCUGCCCGGGCGCCCCCCGGGUCCUAGCACCCAGCGCUCGCCUAGCGCUUUGUGUAAAAGAUCCAGACGGUUGCAUCAGGACCGAGGACCGAGAUCUCUGGAAAAGCCAGGGAGUGCAAUGGCCAUCCCGUGUUUCAUCAUUCAGGCGGGGCCACAGGAAAUCUGGCCUGGCAGCAGUGCUCAGAGGCUAACAGUGGUUGCUGAGGGUGGGUGGAGGUUGAGACGGACUCGACCUUUAUUGCUCUAAAGGUUUAUCAGUCUGGGACAGGAGGACCCUGAUGGAAGAGGGAGCCAAACUUACAUCAGAUGCCCAGGGCCCCGGGGGCGGGCAAGGAACCUAACCAGAUAGGCGGGCCUUGCCUCGGGUCAGGCUUGCUUUCGCGUGACAAAUGACACUUGCAGGAGAUGUCAGGCCACUGCCCUCCGCAACCCCCAUCCCCACCCCAACUUAGAAAAAAGAAAAAGCUGACACUUGGGCCAAGACUUAGAACCUGAAAGAACCAGAAUCCAAGCUCUGCACCCUACUCUCAUUUGACAGGUGGGAGACCCACUUAUGGAGACAAAUUUAUGGAUUAAAAAAAGAAAUCAGGGGAUCCAGGAGACAUCUUAAAGACAGCUGCAGAAUGGAAUAGUUUGUGAGCCACUGGGACUUUCAAGGCCUUCUCUUCCCAUUCUUCAAGCUCUGUCGCUUGUUGGAGCCUUAAAGACACCAGAUUGCUUAACAAUGGGGAUAUAAAAAUUAAAAAUAAUAAAAGACACUGGAUCAAGGCGGCUAGUUGUUCUUGGAGGGCUGGAGUAGAUGACAUACUCUUGAAAUCACUCUUACAGAGGUGACCUGCAUGGGUGUGUCUUCCUGCUGGCCAGAGAGAAGAUCUGAAUUAAUCCAUCAGGAACAUUCACAUUUCCUCCAGGCUGAUUUGGGCGGGACACCUAAACACCCUAAGGAAACAAGAGUUACGAUGUUUUUUCUUCUUCUUCUUCUUUUUUUUUUUUUUUUUGAGAUGGGGUCUCACUCUUUCACCCAGGCUGGAGUGCAGUGGUGCGAUCUUGGCUCACUGCAAGCUCCGCCUCCCGGGUUCACACCAUUCUCCUACCUCAGCCUCCCGAGAAGCUGGAACUGCAGGUGCCCACCACCACGUCCGGCUAAUCUUUUGUAUUUUUAAUAGAGAGAGGGUUUCACCGUGUUAGCCAGGAUGGUCUCGAUCUCCUGACCUCGUGAUCCGCCUGCCUCGGCCUCCCAAAGUGCUAGGAUUACAGGCGUGAGCCACCGCGCCCGGCCUAAUUUUUGUAUUUUUAGUAGAGAGACGGUUUCACCAUGUUGGCCAAGCUGGUCUCAAAUUCCUGAACUCAGGUGAUCCACCAGCCUGGGCCUCCCAAAGUGCUGGGAUUACAGGCGUGAGCCACCACGCCUGGCCUUUUUUUUUUUUUUUUUGGACAGAAAAAAAAUUCAGGAAAAUGUGGAACACUGACCUAAAGAAAGCACAGGCUUUUUUUUUUUUUCCUUUUAAGUAGAUAUUCAUAAGGAAAAGAAUCCGGGUCCGGUUUGGAAAGGUCAGUUAUUAGGAAUCAUUUAUUCAUUCAACAAACACCAUCAAGACUGCCCAACAGUGUUCCAAGCACCUUUUUUUCAUUCACUGUCUCCUUCUGUUAAUAAAACAACUUGUCUCAAA